AUUGAACGCUGGCGGCAGGCUUAACACAUGCAAGUCGAGCGGGGGGAGGUAGCUUGCUACCGGACCUAGCGGCGGACGGGUGAGUAAUGCUUAGGAAUCUGCCUAUUAGUGGGGGACAACAUCUCGAAAGGGAUGCUAAUACCGCAUACGUCCUACGGGAGAAAGCAGGGGAUCUUCGGACCUUGCGCUAAUAGAUGAGCCUAAGUCGGAUUAGCUAGUUGGUGGGGUAAAGGCCUACCAAGGCGACGAUCUGGAGCGGGUCUGAGAGGAUGAUCCGCCACACUGGGACUGAGACACGGCCCAGACUCCUACGGGAGGCAGCAGUGGGGAAUAUUGGACAAUGGGGGGAACCCUGAUCCAGCCAUGCCGCGUGUGUGAAGAAGGCCUUAUGGUUGUAAAGCACUUUAAGCGAGGAGGAGGCUACUCUAGUUAAUACCUAGGGAUAGUGGACGUUACUCGCAGAAUAAGCACCGGCUAACUCUGUGCCAGCCGCCGCCGUAA
This 501-nucleotide ribosomal RNA is filed under the name uncultured bacterium. RNAcentral describes it as "partial 16S ribosomal RNA". It matches the Rfam family "Bacterial small subunit ribosomal RNA", at positions 30 to 523 of the family's 1533-position model. The record is from RNAcentral.